This is a non-coding RNA of Schizosaccharomyces pombe (fission yeast), 241 nucleotides long. Lineage: Eukaryota; Fungi; Ascomycota; Schizosaccharomycetes; Schizosaccharomycetales; Schizosaccharomycetaceae. The record is from the annotation of a GenBank genome assembly.
UUGUCAUACCAUUAGCAAAAUGGAUUCUUGUUGUUCUGACCAGUCGUCUAAGUUCAAAUCAUCUAUUGAUUCAAUGCAAUCUUUUUUCAAUCCUACGCCAUUUGAAACGUGUGAGUCAUUUUCCUUAAAGACAAAAUUUAAUGGUGUCUUAGGAGGCAUGCUUCCAUUUAAACAACGAAACGGCAUUGUGUCGUAAGCAUCAGUCAAAUCCUCAGGACCGGUGAUCCUCAAUCGCUUGGGG